Molecule: non-coding RNA, 28 nt
Filed under: Rattus norvegicus (Norway rat)
Lineage: Eukaryota; Metazoa; Chordata; Mammalia; Rodentia; Muridae
Source: RNAcentral
UGGAAGACUACACUAUGAGCAAUAGCAU